Molecule: transfer RNA, 93 nt
Filed under: uncultured Actinomycetes bacterium
Lineage: Bacteria; Bacillati; Actinomycetota; Actinomycetes
Description: uncultured actinobacterium tRNA-Thr
Source: RNAcentral
GGUGGUGCAGGGCGGCCCGCUCGCCGGACUCUCGUGGAAUCCGGACGCAGCGAUCGGCGGUCAUCGCCCGGGUCUUCCCCGAGCACUGGCACC